RNAcentral lists this long non-coding RNA (504 nucleotides) under Dromaius novaehollandiae (emu). RNAcentral describes it as "lncRNA (ENSDNVG00000001342.1)". Lineage: Eukaryota; Metazoa; Chordata; Aves; Casuariiformes; Dromaiidae. The record is from RNAcentral.
AGAGAGAGAGAGAGAGAGAGAGGCUUUUCUUUGCUGUUAGUCAGCAAGUGGAGUGGAGUGGAGAGCAGAAGCCCAGGCCCCUGUACACCAUGCCAGGGCUCUGCUUACAGGGCCAAACUCUUGGCUACUGGGUGCAGAAGGCAUAGGACAAAGACAACACCUCAGAAAUACCCAUUUUCCAUACAAUUUUAGCCUUUAUUAUUCAGCGGCAGAAGACAAGCUGGUUACCUCUCUCUGUUCUCCAGUGAAUGUGGGGGACCUGAUCUGCAUAAGUAAAACUGAGAGGCACCACAUCGGAUUCAAUGUCAGACAGUUGAAGAAGCCUUGGGCUGACCAGAACAAGCAGAGGAGCUUGUACGCACCAGGGAAGACGGUGGAGCACCCGGCCUGUCGUGUCAAUAAACAAUUAACACCAGGUAGAAAGGAGAACGGAUUAUUGAUUAAGGUAACAGAACUGAAAUUAUUUUUUGUUUCUGCCACCAAUAUAAUGUGACCCCAGUGAAG